ACCAAUUAAAAUAAAGAAGAAAAUAGAAAAUUCAUGAAAAAUAGAAAAUUAGUGAAAUAAAAUGUGGAAAAUUAAAAAUCAGAUGAAGAAAUAAAAGAGAAUUUUAGAAAUUAUUUUGGGAUUUUUUGGAUGAAAAAUGGAAUUACUAUAAAUUUUAAAAUAAAAAAGAAUUAAAAAUAAUAAAAUAAAAAGAAUAAAAAUCAUAAAAAACACAGAGCGUUGGAUCACGCCUCAUUAAUUGACGUGGUGUAAGACCCAAAUUUUGACCCUAAGAUCCCUGAUGUUAUCUUAUCAUUGGCAUUGUGAUCACACCUUGGUAUCC
This 322-nucleotide long non-coding RNA is filed under the name Lathyrus oleraceus (garden pea). Its description in RNAcentral is "Pisum sativum (pea) long non-coding RNA (PSAT_LNC005612)". The record is from RNAcentral. Lineage: Eukaryota; Viridiplantae; Streptophyta; Magnoliopsida; Fabales; Fabaceae.